RNAcentral lists this ribosomal RNA (497 nucleotides) under uncultured bacterium. RNAcentral describes it as "partial 16S ribosomal RNA". It matches the Rfam family "Bacterial small subunit ribosomal RNA", at positions 28 to 507 of the family's 1533-position model. The record is from RNAcentral.
GAUGAACGCUGGCGGCGUGCCUAAUACAUGCAAGUCGAGCGAACGGACGAGAAGCUUGCUUCUCUGAUGUUAGCGGCGGACGGGUGAGUAACACGUGGAUAACCUACCUAUAAGACUGGGAUAACUUCGGGAAACCGGAGCUAAUACCGGAUAAUAUUUUGAACCGCAUGGUUCAAAAGUGAAAGAUGGUCUUGCUGUCACUUAUAGAUGGAUCCGCGCUGCAUUAGCUAGUUGGUAAGGUAACGGCUUACCAAGGCAACGAUGCAUAGCCGACCUGAGAGGGUGAUCGGCCACCCUGGAACUGAGACACGGUCCAGACUCCUACGGGAGGCAGCAGUAGGGAAUCUUCCGCAAUGGGCGAAAGCCUGACGGAGCAACGCCGCGUGAGUGAUGAAGGUCUUCGGAUCGUAAAACUCUGUUAUUAGGGAAGAACAUAUGUGUAAGUAACUGUGCACAUCUUGACGGUACCUAAUCAGAAAGCCACGGCUAACUACGUG